GACGAACGCUGGCGGCGUGCUUAACACAUGCAAGUCGAACGGAAAGGCCCUGCCUUUGUGGGGUUCUCGAGUGGCGAACGGGUGAGUAACACGUGAGUAACCUGCCCUUGACUUUGGGAUAACUUCAGGAAACUGGGGCUAAUACCGGAUAGGAGCUCCUGCUGCAUGGUGGGGGUUGGAAAGUUUCGGCGGUUGGGGAUGGACUCGCGGCUUAUCAGCUUGUUGGUGGGGUAGUGGCUUACCAAGGCUUUGACGGGUAGCCGGCCUGAGAGGGUGACCGGCCACAUUGGGACUGAGAUACGGCCCAGACUCCUACGGGAGGCAGCAGUGGGGAAUAUUGCACAAUGGGCGGAAGCCUGAUGCAGCAACGCCGCGUGCGGGAUGACGGCCUUCGGGUUGUAAACCGCUUUCGCCUGUGACGAAGCGUGAGUGACGGUAAUGGGUAAAGAAGCACCGGCUAACUACGUG
RNAcentral lists this ribosomal RNA (468 nucleotides) under uncultured bacterium. Its description in RNAcentral is "partial 16S ribosomal RNA". It matches the Rfam family "Bacterial small subunit ribosomal RNA", at positions 28 to 507 of the family's 1533-position model. The record is from RNAcentral.